CUGUAGUUGACAGCAAUACCCUGAACCUGAGAACGCUCCCCUUAAAAGUAAGAGGCAUUAAGGUUGGGAUAUCAGAGGCCUCAGGGAGCAUCUCUAACUUGGAGUUCUCGUCUGGACACAUACGUCUCCGUAAUGUAUCCAGUUCUACCGUUAGAUAAGGCUCCUGCUAGGGGACGCGGUGUAACUCAUAAUCAAAGGACUGAAGGGGAAACCUUUCCUUCUCUGGGGUUUUCCCAAGAGGCCGAGAAAGAGCUCUGUACGUCUGGCGCAGAAGCUGGUUUGAAUGAAGGAGGAGGAGGGGAGGGAGAACCGAGGAAGGGCCUGGGGGGGUGUGAGACUUCCUGGCUUUAUUAAAAUAAAAAGGGGAUGGGGUUCUUUGUCAACUUCGGGGAAUUCAUGAGUAGCAGGUCAAAGGCCUUGCCCUUCACAGAGACUUUCAGAAAGACUUUCAAGCAGAGUGUUCUGUGUGCAUGUCUGGGAAGGAGGAGCAGACGGAAGGAAGCAAGACGCUCUUAAAACAAAUGGAUCCCCACUAUCUGCUUCACACUGGGAAAGCAUCUGCCAGCCAGCUCUUCUGCCUCUUCAACCUUGCAGAUGAGAUAGGGAGUCGGUUCUGAAGAAGAGAUGCAAUAGAAUUACACAGAUAGAAGAAUCAAAGAAGUAACCAGCUGCCGUCUGUGUUCAACACAAUCCAGUGGAUAGGAUGUAUUUUACCCCAAAACAAGUUAUCAGAACAACAGAAAAUUGACACAAUGGAAAGUAUUCACAAAGCAGAGCUGGAGGAGGAGGAAGGCAGCUUGCUGACACCUGGGGAGAGAGCAGUCCAGGCAGGGGGCAGAGCCAGGUGCAAAGGCCCAGCAGCGGGAGCAUGCUGGAGUGUCUCAGGAGAGCAUGGAGUGCCCUGGGAAAGGGCGAUGGGAAGGUCAGGCUUUCAGGUAUUAUGAUUUUUCCCCACCACUGCUUCUUUCUGGAAAUCCUUUCUCUCCAUCCGUGCUGACUCUACGAUAAAGCACGCCUCGCUGCGUAUGAAUGGAUGCACUUCAGGAUGACAGAGGGGUGUUACAAAAUAUCUAUGAUGAAAGGAGGGCUGAAAUCUCUGCCUACCUUGAGCUCCCAGAGCAGCACACUCCAAAUCCUCAGCACACCCCCUGGGAAGCCCCCAGCCCUGCUCCAGGGGAUUCUCAAGGGACAGGGACAGAUGAUGAAUGAGACACAGAAUUAAUGAGUCCCAACAGUGGGCAUUAUCCCAACCAUAAGGCUGGUUGGUCUUGUGGGUUUUUGCU
This is a non-coding RNA of Microcebus murinus (gray mouse lemur), 1283 nucleotides long. The record is from RefSeq and is a predicted model, not a curated record. NCBI's taxonomy places the organism in Eukaryota, Metazoa, Chordata, Mammalia, Primates, Cheirogaleidae.